Molecule: long non-coding RNA, 2253 nt
Organism: Phyllopteryx taeniolatus (common seadragon)
Lineage: Eukaryota; Metazoa; Chordata; Actinopteri; Syngnathiformes; Syngnathidae
Exons: 3
Source: RefSeq, a predicted model, not a curated record
UAGAAAUCUUGAAGGGGACAAAUGCGUUUUCACAGCACUGGACAGUGGGGUGAAACCCUGCUUGAAAACCAAAAAUAUUGAUCAGAAGAAUUUUACAGACUCUGUCUUGUUGUGAUGUUGUGAAUGGAGCACAUGGAGAGAAGAGGUGAGUGAACGAGACAUCUGUCCACGCCCAAAGCUCAUGCAGGUUUAAGACGGAUUAGAAAGAUGGCAAGUAUCGCUGCAGGUAAACCAAAGAUGAAGCUCCUGGCCAAGACGCUCUUUUUAGGAAUCAAGUAGAGCUGCCAAUGUAAAACAAGCUUCACUUUUAAAAAAAGAUUUUUUUUAAAUUUCCUUUCAAUGUAAAAUUUUGCAGGCUACCAGAUGCAGCAACAUACAAAGAUGUAUAAAGGAAUUUUAUGGUCACAAAAAAAAUAUUUUUUUUUUUAAAAAUUGCAAGAAUAAUGAAGUAUUUGUCCAAGGGACAAUGUGAUUUUACAAAAAUAAAUUCAUAGUUACAAGAGAAAAAGUGGCAAUUUUAUAAGAAUAGUUAUUAUAAGGCGGCAUGGUGGCCGGCUGGGUAGAGCGUCAGCCUCACAGUUCUGAGGUGCGGGGUUCAAUCCCUGGCCCCGCCUGUGUAGAGUUUGCCUGUUCUCCCCGUGCCUGCGUGGGUUUUCUUCGGGCACUCCGGUUUCCUCCCACAUCCCAAAAACAUGCAUUAACGGGAGACUCUAAAUUGCCCGUAGGUGUGACUGUGAGUGCGAAUGGUCGUUUGUUUGUAUGAGCCCUGCGAUUGGCUGGCAACCAGUUCAGGGUGUACCCCGCCUCCUGCCCGAUGACAGCUGGGAUAGGCUCCAGAACGCCCGCGACCCUCGUGAGGCGAAGCGGCUCAGAAAAUGGAUGGAUGGAUGGAAAGUUAUUAUAAGAAAAAGGUUUUGUUUUUUUUAGAAUAAAACAAUUACAUUUUGAAUGGAAACAAAUGAAAAUCUAUUCCAAAAAAUGAGAAAAAGUCUCUUUGUCAUUUUAGGAGAAUAAAGUGAUAUCAUGAGGAGAAAUGUAAUAUGACGAGAAUGUUUUCUAUUUGUGAGGCAUUUUUUGGAUUAUUCGUGAGAAAAGAAGGUGAAUGUUAUGAUAAUAAUGUAAUAGUGAGGAAAAAAUUGUAAUUUUUAAAUUGUAAUAUUACAUUUUUCUCAUAAAGAAUGUUUUCGAUACUACCAUUAAUUUUCUUAUUAACCAUGGUUUUCUCCAGGCACUCCGGUUUCCUCCCACAUCCCAAAAACAUGCAUGGUAGAUGAAUCGAAGUCUCUAAAUUGAAUGUGAGUGCGAAUGGUUGUUUGUUGAUGUGUGCCCUGCGAUUGGCUGGCAACCAGUUGAGGGUGUACCCCGCCUCCUGCCCGAAGAUAGCUGGGACAGGCUCCAGCACGCCCGCGACCAAAUUCAAAAAUAAUGGUAAAAAUAUAUCAUUUAAAAAAAUGAACAAAAAUAAGCUCACAGUAGACGUUUGAUCCCAAGAUUUGUAUUCCAAAAUAUUUUUGAAUGGCUCAAUUUGACCCUCAUCACACUCGGAGAGUUCAAUCGAGCGAAGUAAGUUUCAUACCAAAAAAACGUCUUUUCAAUAUGACCUCGAAAAAUAGCAGGAGGGUUCAUUAGCGGGCUGGGAGAUCUUUGAGUGUCCCGGGCACAAAGUGAGGAUGCUGAUCUUGUCCAUGCAGGUUGUAAGAGAGGGCAGAAAGCAUCUGUUGCUAAGUCGCACGGCACCUGGACACCAUUCCCACAUGCAGCAAAAUCCACCAGAUUUGUUUUUCCAUUGCAGAUGGUCACUUGCACGUUUUCUUCAUCCCAUUGGUCCGGGUCCCGCAGUGACAGUGGCUCAUAUAUAAGGCGGCACUCUCGCUCUCUCUUUCUCUUCUUGUGUGCUGCAAAUCCUGGGCCCACGCUCCUCCCGAAGACUUGCAACUGCAGGACUCCACAAUCAUGUCAGGCACGUCGGUUUUGAUGAUACUGUGCUGGGAGUUGAAGUACACCAUGGACAGAGGCUGUCGCUCCGUGGGAACGCAACACGAAGACGCAGCCGUGUUGAUACCGUUGACCUUCAGCUGGCUCAAGACGGUGGCGUGGAAGGACGCGGCGAUACCUGGAGAUCCGGCCAGCACACGGUGACGUCAUCGCCGCACCGCAAUGAGCGCUUCCUGAGCAAGUGUCUGGCGGGGUCGUCGCGUAGACGCACCUGGGCCAUCAGGAAGGGCUUAUACGGGGUGUUGGCGGAGUUUUCCA